UACGUAGGGGGCUAGCGUUAUCCGGAAUUACUGGGCGUAAAGGGUGCGUAGGUGGUUUCUUAAGUCAGAGGUGAAAGACUACGGCUCAACCGUAGUAAGCCUUUGAAACUGGGGAACUUGAGUGCAGGAGAGGAGAGUGGAAUUCCUAGUGUAGCGGUGAAAUGCGUAGAUAUUAGGAGGAACACCAGUUGCGAAGGCGGCUCUCUGGACUGUAACUGACACUGAGGCACGAAAGCGUGGGGAGCAAACAGG
Molecule: ribosomal RNA, 252 nt
Filed under: uncultured bacterium
Lineage: Bacteria
Description: partial 16S ribosomal RNA
Rfam family: Bacterial small subunit ribosomal RNA
Source: RNAcentral